RNAcentral lists this ribosomal RNA (253 nucleotides) under uncultured bacterium. Its description in RNAcentral is "partial 16S ribosomal RNA". It matches the Rfam family "Bacterial small subunit ribosomal RNA", at positions 524 to 776 of the family's 1533-position model. The record is from RNAcentral.
UACGGAGGGGGCUAGCGUUGUUCGGAAUUACUGGGCGUAAAGCGCACGUAGGCGGAUCAGUUAGUCGGGGGUGAAAUCCCGGGGCUCAACCCCGGAACUGCCUUCGAUACUGCUGGUCUGGAGUCCGAGAGAGGUGAGUGGAAUUCCGAGUGUAGAGGUGAAAUUCGUAGAUAUUCGGAAGAACACCAGUGGCGAAGGCGGCUCACUGGCCCGGUACUGACGCUGAGGUGCGAAAGCGUGGGGAGCGAACCGG